UGUACGGAGCGGAAUCAGGGAUUUGGAGGAGUGGAGGCCGGCUACGGAACAUGUUCUUAGUUUCGAACGUACGUUAAUAAUCUGAGUGGCAUGGUUGGUUUAGUUCAUACCUGCUGCUGUAGGAACGGCGGCGGCGGCGAGGAGGAGCACCACCAAGAUCUUCGCCAUUGCUGUCUGCUGAUCGUCGACGAUUUAGAGGAUUAGUCGAGAGCUACGGGUGGAUAACGGGAUGCUUCUUGUCUUUCUCUUGCAGGCUCGUGGCUUGAUGUUUACGGUCGUUCACCCACAUCGUGGAUUUCCUCCCCAGGAUAGAAAAGGAAGCCGCGUCCAUUUCAGAAUAAACAGAAUAAGGACAACUUCACGGGCAAGUUCAAUUCCCUGAAUUUGAAUUUAAACCAUACAAGUAUUAAUAUAAAAAAGGAGCAUGCCGUUACAUUGCCAGCUCAGGCCGAUGCCAACACCAUC
This 465-nucleotide long non-coding RNA is filed under the name Brachypodium distachyon (stiff brome). Its description in RNAcentral is "long non-coding RNA (BDIS_LNC005360)". Lineage: Eukaryota; Viridiplantae; Streptophyta; Magnoliopsida; Poales; Poaceae. The record is from RNAcentral.